This 404-nucleotide ribosomal RNA is filed under the name Actinomycetes bacterium. RNAcentral's name for it is "Actinobacteria bacterium partial 16S ribosomal RNA". It matches the Rfam family "Bacterial small subunit ribosomal RNA", at positions 355 to 776 of the family's 1533-position model. Lineage: Bacteria; Bacillati; Actinomycetota; Actinomycetes. The record is from RNAcentral.
UGGGGAAUAUUGGACAAUGGGCGCAAGCCUGAUCCAGCCAUGCCGCGUGAGUGAUGAAGGCCCUAGGGUUGUAAAGCUCUUUCACCGGUGAAGAUAAUGACGGUAACCGGAGAAGAAGCCCCGGCUAACUUCGUGCCAGCAGCCGCGGUAAUACGAAGGGGGCUAGCGUUGUUCGGAUUUACUGGGCGUAAAGCGCACGUAGGCGGACUUUUAAGUCAGGGGUGAAAUCCCGGGGCUCAACCCCGGAACUGCCUUUGAUACUGGAAGUCUUGAAUAUGGUAGAGGUGAGUGGAAUUCCGAGUGUAGAGGUGAAAUUCGUCGAUAUUCGGAGGAACACCAGUGGCGAAGGCGGCUCACUGGACCAUUACUGACGCUGAGGUGCGAAAGCGUGGGGAGCAAACAGG